GCGAUCAUACCAGCACUAAUGCACCGGAUCCCAUCAGAACUCCGAAGUUUAGCGUGCUUGGGCGAGAGCAGUACUAGGAUGGGUGACCCCCAGGGAAGUCCUCGUGUUGCACCUU
RNAcentral lists this ribosomal RNA (115 nucleotides) under Zingiber officinale. Lineage: Eukaryota; Viridiplantae; Streptophyta; Magnoliopsida; Zingiberales; Zingiberaceae. The record is from RNAcentral.